This 68-nucleotide transfer RNA is filed under the name Rhinoderma darwinii. Its description in RNAcentral is "tRNA-Asp". It matches the Rfam family "tRNA". Rfam says of the family: Transfer RNA (tRNA) molecules are approximately 80 nucleotides in length. The record is from RNAcentral. Lineage: Eukaryota; Metazoa; Chordata; Amphibia; Anura; Rhinodermatidae.
GAGGUAUUAGUUAAUUAUAACAUUACCUUGUCAAGGUAAAAUAAUGGGUUAAAUCCCCAUAUACCUCU